GAUGUUGUCGGAUGUAUUAGCGCCUGAUUCGUAAUCAGUAGGUCGGCAGUUCGAUUCUGCUCACCGGCUCCA
Molecule: transfer RNA, 72 nt
Filed under: Methylococcaceae bacterium
Lineage: Bacteria; Pseudomonadati; Pseudomonadota; Gammaproteobacteria; Methylococcales; Methylococcaceae
Description: tRNA-Thr
Source: RNAcentral